UCAUGAGCAGCCUGUGACAACUACAGAGGUAUCUUGCUACUCUCCACUGCUGGAAAGAUCCUCACCCGUGUUAUACUCAACAGACUCCUGUCAUCUGUUUCAGAGCAGAACCUGCCUGAAUCACAAUGUGGCUUCCGACCAGAUCGCAGCACCAUCGACAUGGUCUUCACGGUACCACUGUGAAACUCAAGAUAUCAUUUUCCUGCAGGGACCAUGGCUGAUGGGUCCCAGUUCCUCAGUAAAAACAUUCAUCAGUGCACACUCCUUCUUCACUGCUCCUCUCCUAUUGCCUCAGCCAGGGAUAGAGUGGGUGUCCAGUCUGUAUUUUUAAAGCCUCCCAAGUUCCAUGUUUGUUGGCAAUGAGGGUUGAGUUCCUGCCCUUAAGGCUUGGAACCUCCUGAAUCCAAGGUGUUCACUCCUUCAGUACCCAGACACAGACCAGCCAGAGUGUCCUCAGCCAAGGCUACAGCUAAAAUAGCUGCUCUCAAGGUCUUCUGCCUGUAGAUUUAGAUUUUGCAGGCUUCUCCAGUUGAGCAAACAAGGUGAGGUUGCUAAUCCUACCCUCCCUGGCUGCUUUGUGGAUUCCCUUUUCUAUCAGGGUCUGUUAGAAAUUUUUCUCCCUAGUUGUCCAUAGAUUUUAGGUUCAUUGGGACUCCUAUCUGUUUUUGCUGCUUUUAGUGUUGAUUUAUGUAGUGUUUUUUUUUUCGUUAUUUGUGGAAGGUGAAAAACUUCAGAUACCACUCCACCAUCUUCCAACAAUGCCGGUGUCUCCUCUUCCAUUUAAUGCACUUUAAAAUCUAGGCAAUAUGAAAUCAUUAUCCACCCCCCCUUUUUUUUUUCCUUAUGACUGAUUUAUUUUAGUGGCAAUUUAGAGGCCCUGUGGUAUCAUAUACCAUUCAAUCAUUAUUGAAUACCACUACCAAUCAAACCAACCAAUCAUUAUAACAUCUAUACUAUAUAGCAAAAGUUAAAGUGCUGUUAACACAUUAUAAGACCCUUGAGUAAGUGUUGGUUGACUUUACUUGAUAGAACCUCCCUGUAGAGAGAAAGUUUCUCUUCUUUUAGACUUUGUCCAGAAUAACCUACAUAAUAUUUGCCCUUGCUGAGCAUAUUUCCUCCCAUUUGGUGCCCUUUAAUGUUGUCUCCUUUAUCUCAGCUACUAUGGGAUAUUGUAUGAAUAGAGACAUGCCCUGAUUAAUGUCUUAAAGCCUGUCUUUUGUUUGUUCCCAAUCAAAU
Molecule: long non-coding RNA, 1236 nt
Filed under: Monodelphis domestica (gray short-tailed opossum)
Lineage: Eukaryota; Metazoa; Chordata; Mammalia; Didelphimorphia; Didelphidae
Description: lncRNA (ENSMODG00000044004.1)
Source: RNAcentral